CAAAUCCCUUUGAUUUAUUUAUUCCCUUUUUAUUUCUAAAACCUUCAACUAUUUCAUCCCUUAGCUACCAAAUAGCCGCCGUGGGAACGUUACGCCUUCCAUGGAGAAGUUCGCGUGGUCUCAAACCCCGACGUCAAACCGUCGAAGUGUCUCUCUUCGCACCCCACGCCUCGACGUGUAUAGUGGUCGGAGCCUCACUACUCCCUCGACCUCCACAGCACGCCGCACACUAGCUUUCAGGCUCUGUGCGAUUCAAACCACUCUGCUGCCACUCACGGCUGUAGGGUAA
RNAcentral lists this long non-coding RNA (289 nucleotides) under Oryza sativa Indica Group (long-grained rice). RNAcentral's name for it is "lncRNA OsLiXu_Ung0069870". RNAcentral also lists the same sequence under 1 other name. Lineage: Eukaryota; Viridiplantae; Streptophyta; Magnoliopsida; Poales; Poaceae. The record is from RNAcentral.